Molecule: ribosomal RNA, 253 nt
Filed under: uncultured bacterium
Lineage: Bacteria
Description: partial 16S ribosomal RNA
Rfam family: Bacterial small subunit ribosomal RNA
Source: RNAcentral
UACAGAGGUCCCAAGCGUUGUUCGGAUUCACUGGGCGUAAAGGGUGCGUAGGCGGUCGGGUAAGUCUGAUGUGAAAUCUCACAGCUUAACUGUGAAACUGCAUUGGAUACUAUCCGGCUAGAGGAAUGGAGGGGAGACUGGAAUACUUGGUGUAGCAGUGAAAUGCGUAGAUAUCAAGUGGAACACCAGUGGCGAAGGCGAGUCCCUGGACGACUCCUGACACUGAGGCACGAAAGCUAGGGGAGCAAACAGG